Molecule: ribosomal RNA, 312 nt
Filed under: Triticum aestivum (bread wheat)
Lineage: Eukaryota; Viridiplantae; Streptophyta; Magnoliopsida; Poales; Poaceae
Description: partial small subunit ribosomal RNA
Source: RNAcentral
AUGAAAAAAAUGAACAGAUGCUACUACCUCCUCCCGGAGGAAGAUGACCCGGUCAGAACUGUUCGGAACAAGAACUGUAUUGGGAAAGUGAUGUUUCUGACCGCUGUUGCACGACCCAGAUAUGAUGCUGAAGGCAAUAUGACAUUCUCAGGUAAAAUUUGUGCCUGUCCCUUUGUGCAAGAGAUUCCCGCUGCUAGAAGAAGUGAAUAUAGAGCAAGAGGGACCAUUGAAAUCAAGUCUGUCAACGUGAACCGAUAGGUAAUGAGGAGGUAUAUGAUAGAAAAAGUGGUUCCCGGGAUAAAGCAAGUCUAG